GUAGUACUCCCUCCGUCCGGAAAUACAUGUUAUCAAAAUGAAAAAAAGGGAUGUAUCUAGAUGUAUUUUAGUUAUAGAUACAUCCCUUUUCGUCCAUUUUGAUGACAAGUAUUUUUGGAUGGAGGGAGUAUUUU
Molecule: non-coding RNA, 134 nt
Organism: Triticum aestivum (bread wheat)
Lineage: Eukaryota; Viridiplantae; Streptophyta; Magnoliopsida; Poales; Poaceae
Source: Rfam